Molecule: long non-coding RNA, 199 nt
Organism: Sphaerodactylus townsendi
Lineage: Eukaryota; Metazoa; Chordata; Lepidosauria; Squamata; Sphaerodactylidae
Exons: 3
Source: RefSeq, a predicted model, not a curated record
ACACAGGAUUGGCAUACACUAAGACUGUUGCUGCUGCAGGGAAUGCAAAUGUGAAUCACCACUUGGACUGAAAAAUCCCACCCCCAAUACAAUACUAUCAACCACAUCUUUGCAUAGCAAAUUCCACCCAAACACUUACUGAUUGGUUCCCUAUCCUGGGACAUGGACAAUAUAUACCCCACUAAAAACAUUCCCUUCU